AUUGAACGCUGGCGGCAGGCCUAACACAUGCAAGUCGAGCGGAUGAAGGGAGCUUGCUCCUGGAUUCAGCGGCGGACGGGUGAGUAAUGCCUAGGAAUCUGCCUGGUAGUGGGGGAUAACGUCCGGAAACGGGCGCUAAUACCGCAUACGUCCUGAGGGAGAAAGUGGGGGAUCUUCGGACCUUCCGCUAUCAGAUGAGUCUAGGUCGGAUUAGCUAGUUGGUGGGGUAAAGGCCUACCAAGGCGACGAUCCGUAGCUGGUCUGAGAGGAUGAUCAGUCACACUGGAACUGAGACACGGUCCAGACUCCUACGGGAGGCAGCAGUGGGGAAUAUUGGACAAUGGGCGAAAGCCUGAUCCAGCCAUGCCGCGUGUGUGAAGAAGGUCUUCGGAUUGUAAAGCACUUUAAGUUGGGAGGAAGGGCAGUAAGUUAAUACCUUGCUGUUUUGACGUUACCAACAGAAUAAGCACCGGCUAACUUCGUG
Molecule: ribosomal RNA, 484 nt
Filed under: uncultured bacterium
Lineage: Bacteria
Description: partial 16S ribosomal RNA
Rfam family: Bacterial small subunit ribosomal RNA
Source: RNAcentral